AUGGAACGCCGUUUGGGUCUUUGCACGUAAACACGUGCAACGUAAACUAUUGUAACACUAUGUACAUAUUGUUGUACAGUUGAAUGGCAAUCACAUGUACUUACAAGGAUGGCCAGUCUCACAGGAGGGUGAUUUUUAACUGAGGUGAAGGUGGAGUGGAGUGAAGUGCUUGAUUGCCAAAAUCAACAUAACUCUUCUUUUGGCAAUUGGCAUGGGAUUGUCAAGAAUGUGGACAGCUGGUUGUCGAACCAGAUCAGAACGCCUUCGAGGACAACCUUCAGGCACAGGAUGUGGAGGUGAGAUUGAACAAGGACAAGGUGCUGGAGAAACAGGAGAGCUACCAGAGGAGAAUCAAGGAGGGGACCAAGAGCUUUGACCUCCGUAUGAAUGGCUUGGUUUGGAAGAACGACGAAAGGAAGGGAUCACCCUUUCCAUCAAUCCCAGUGUCAUAAAGAAAUUACAGACAGGACCUAGUGGUUCUGCCCAACUCCCAGACGUGGAUCCACCUGAUGUCCUCCAUUACCUGUUCUCCAGGACCUAGUGGUUCUGUCCAACACCCAGACGCGGAUCCACCUGAUGUCCUCCAUUACCUGUUCUCCAGGACCUAGUGGUUCUGCCCAACACCCAGACCCACCUGAUGUCCUCCAUUACCAACCACCCUUCAACUUUUCAUUAAAUCAUCUACAGCUAC
Oncorhynchus masou masou (cherry salmon) is the source of this 691-nucleotide long non-coding RNA. RefSeq lists it as uncharacterized. The transcript is spliced from 6 exons. The record is from RefSeq and is a predicted model, not a curated record. NCBI's taxonomy places the organism in Eukaryota, Metazoa, Chordata, Actinopteri, Salmoniformes, Salmonidae.